Molecule: transfer RNA, 73 nt
Filed under: Candidatus Pacearchaeota archaeon CG06_land_8_20_14_3_00_35_12
Lineage: Archaea; Nanobdellati
Description: tRNA-Gln
Rfam family: tRNA
About the family: Transfer RNA (tRNA) molecules are approximately 80 nucleotides in length.
Source: RNAcentral
AGCCUCGUGGUGUAGCGGUCAAGCAUUAUGCCCUCUGGCGGCGUAGACCUCGGUUCGAAUCCGGGCGAGGCUA